UUGGCCGAAGCCAAAAUUAAGCGGCUUAUCACUGUUAAUGAUAAAAUUGAAAAUCUUUUCCUGCCAAA
Molecule: transfer RNA, 68 nt
Filed under: Engaewa walpolea
Lineage: Eukaryota; Metazoa; Arthropoda; Malacostraca; Decapoda; Parastacidae
Description: tRNA-Asn
Source: RNAcentral